AUUGGACAAAACUAAAAUGUUUAAAAUCAAUUUGAAAACAAAGUCUAUCUACUUCCGCGUUGAUGGUGACCACUAUGGAAUCUCUUCUUGAACAUAGUCAUCCAUCCCAAAAGCUGACUCCUAUGAGCAGCUGAAACCCAAAUACGAUGGGGUUAUCAAGUGAAUCCUCUUGAGCACCUCUUCAUAUUUAAUCAUGUCGUAUAAGGUAUGAGGUAUCCAUCUGUUGAAAUAUAAAUUUUUAUUAAAUCAAGCAGAAAAAGAGAAAGUUAAAAUCAAUGAUCAUGGGCUAGAAGCAAGCAAGAGAGGCCACACAACCAAUAAUCUGAAACAAUUGUCAAAAACAAAAUCAACUGCGAAAGGAAGGAAGCAACUGAUCAAAUCAAGAAAGAGGUAAGAGACCAACCUUUGUGUGAUAAGACGAAAAUCACCAAGAGCCCGGAGAACUUGAGAGAAAAGAGGGAACAAACUUAGAGCUUGAUGGAGAAGAUUCAAGAGGAUCCAACAUGAAACAGAGUGAAAAGAGAAGAAUUCAACACUAUCACGAUAAGCUUUUCAAUCCCAC
Molecule: long non-coding RNA, 562 nt
Filed under: Arabidopsis thaliana (thale cress)
Lineage: Eukaryota; Viridiplantae; Streptophyta; Magnoliopsida; Brassicales; Brassicaceae
Description: long non-coding RNA (ATHA_LNC000145)
Source: RNAcentral